RNAcentral lists this ribosomal RNA (253 nucleotides) under uncultured bacterium. Its description in RNAcentral is "partial 16S ribosomal RNA". It matches the Rfam family "Bacterial small subunit ribosomal RNA", at positions 524 to 776 of the family's 1533-position model. The record is from RNAcentral.
UACGUAGGGUGCAAGCGUUAAUCGGAAUUACUGGGCGUAAAGCGUGCGCAGGCGGUGACGUCAGUCAGAUGUGAAAUCCCCGGGCUCAACCUGGGAACUGCAUUUGUGACUGCAUCGCUGGAGUGCGGCAGAGGGGGAUGGAAUUCCGCGUGUAGCAGUGAAAUGCGUAGAUAUCGGAAGGAACAUCAGUGGCGAAAGCGGCUUACUGGACCAGAACUGACGAUCAGGCACGAAAGCGUGGGGAGCAAACAGG